RNAcentral lists this small RNA (28 nucleotides) under Bombyx mori (domestic silkworm). Its description in RNAcentral is "ovarian small RNA-36129". The record is from RNAcentral. Lineage: Eukaryota; Metazoa; Arthropoda; Insecta; Lepidoptera; Bombycidae.
UGUUCUAUUGUUUCUUGAUUUGAGUUGC